AUUGAACGCUGGCGGCAUGCCUUACACAUGCAAGUCGAACGGUAACAGGUCUUCGGAUGCUGACGAGUGGCGAACGGGUGAGUAAUACAUCGGAACGUGCCCGAUCGUGGGGGAUAACGAAGCGAAAGCUUUGCUAAUACCGCAUAAGAUCUACGGAUGAAAGCAGGGGACCGCAAGGCCUUGCGCGAACGGAGCGGCCGAUGGCAGAUUAGGUAGUUGGUGGGAUAAAAGCUUACCAAGCCGACGAUCUGUAGCUGGUCUGAGAGGACGACCAGCCACACUGGGACUGAGACACGGCCCAGACUCCUACGGAAGGCAGCAGUGGGGAAUUUUGGACAAUGGGCGAAAGCCUGAUCCAGCCAUGCCGCGUGCAGGAUGAAGGCCUUCGGGUUGUAAACUGCUUUUGUACGGAACGAAAAGACUCUUUCUAAUAAAGAGGGUCCAUGACGGUACCGUAAGAAUAAGCACCGGCUAACUACGUGCCAGCAGCCGCCGUAA
RNAcentral lists this ribosomal RNA (498 nucleotides) under uncultured bacterium. RNAcentral describes it as "partial 16S ribosomal RNA". It matches the Rfam family "Bacterial small subunit ribosomal RNA", at positions 30 to 523 of the family's 1533-position model. The record is from RNAcentral.